CUACGGGAGGCUGCAGUAGGGAAUAUUGGACAAUGGGCGAAAGCCUGAUCCAGCAACGCCGCGUGCACGAUGACGGCCUUCGGGUUGUAAAGUGCUUUUAGAGGAGAUGAGAAAGGACAGUAUCCUCUGAAUAAGCCUCGGCGAACUACGUGCCAGCAGCCGCGGUAAAACGUAGGAGGCAAGCGUUAUCCGGAUUUAUUGGGCGUAAAGCGCGUGCAGGCGGUUUGACAAGUUGGAUGUGAAAGCUCCCGGCUUAACUGGGAGAGGUCGUUCAAAACUGUCAGACUAGAGAAUGGGAGAGGGAGGUGGAAUUCCGGGUGUAGUGGUGAAAUGCGUAGAUAUCCGGAGGAACACCAGUGGCGAAAGCGGCCUCCUAGACCAUUUCUGACGCUAAGACGCGAAAGCUAGGGUAGCAAACGGGAUUAGAUACCCCGGUAGUC
Molecule: ribosomal RNA, 440 nt
Filed under: uncultured bacterium
Lineage: Bacteria
Description: partial 16S ribosomal RNA
Rfam family: Bacterial small subunit ribosomal RNA
Source: RNAcentral